Molecule: ribosomal RNA, 429 nt
Filed under: Chloroflexota bacterium
Lineage: Bacteria; Bacillati; Chloroflexota
Description: Chloroflexi bacterium partial 16S ribosomal RNA
Rfam family: Bacterial small subunit ribosomal RNA
Source: RNAcentral
UGGGGAAUAUUGCACAAUGGGCGCAAGCCUGAUGCAGCCAUGCCGCGUGUAUGAAGAAGGCCUUCGGGUUGUAAAGUACUUUCAGUCGGGAGGAAGGUGGUAAGGUUAAUAACCUUAUCAAUUGACGUUACCGACAGAAGAAGCACCGGCUAACUCCGUGCCAGCAGCCGCGGUAAUACGGAGGGUGCAAGCGUUAAUCGGAAUUACUGGGCGUAAAGCGCACGCAGGCGGUUGAUUGAGUCAGAUGUGAAAUCCCCGGGCUUAACCUGGGAAUUGCAUCUGAUACUGGUCAGCUAGAGUCUUGUAGAGGGGGGUAGAAUUCCAUGUGUAGCGGUGAAAUGCGUAGAGAUGUGGAGGAAUACCGGUAGCGAAGGCGGCCCCCUGGACAAAGACUGACGCUCAGGUGCGAAAGCGUGGGGAGCAAACAGG